This 465-nucleotide ribosomal RNA is filed under the name Vreelandella stevensii. Its description in RNAcentral is "partial 16S ribosomal RNA". It matches the Rfam family "Bacterial small subunit ribosomal RNA", at positions 338 to 795 of the family's 1533-position model. The record is from RNAcentral. Lineage: Bacteria; Pseudomonadati; Pseudomonadota; Gammaproteobacteria; Oceanospirillales; Halomonadaceae.
CCUACGGGGUGCAGCAGUGGGGAAUAUUGGACAAUGGGCGAAAGCCUGAUCCAGCCAUGCCGCGUGUGUGAAGAAGGCCUUCGGGUUGUAAAGCACUUUCAGUGGGGAAGAAAGCCUUGGGGCUAAUACCCUCGAGGAAGGACAUCACCCACAGAAGAAGCACCGGCUAACUCCGUGCCAGCAGCCGCGGUAAUACGGAGGGUGCGAGCGUUAAUCGGAAUUACUGGGCGUAAAGCGCGCGUAGGCGGUCUGAUAAGCCGGUUGUGAAAGCCCCGGGCUCAACCUGGGAACGGCAUCCGGAACUGUCAGGCUAGAGUGCAGUAGAGGAAGGUAGAAUUCCCGGUGUAGCGGUGAAAUGCGUAGAGAUCGGGAGGAAUCCCAGUGGCGAAGGCGGCCUUCUGAACUGACACUGACGCUGAGGUGCGAAAGCGUGGGUAGCAAACAGGAUUAGAUACCCGAGUAGUC